GUUCCAGGUAGGAGCUCCAACUUCCCGGAAAGGUCGUUCCCUUCCAGUGAUCUAUGGAGCCAGAUGAUGCUGGGAUGUAGCAUGAGGACCCUGCCAGAUGUGGCCAGUGACCUUGAGCUUCUCAGCUUCCAGAACUGUUAGCCAUCCAGCACUGAGAAGUGGCAGCUGGAAUGGAAGAAGGUGUCUACAACCUGACCCAGAGCUAGAGAUGUGCAGAUGUCAAGAAAAAAGAAAGUCUAUAAUAUGUCAAAAUAUACCCUACGGUCAUGUAUAUCUAAAAACAACAAAUUAAAAAAAUAUAUAUCUAAAA
Molecule: long non-coding RNA, 310 nt
Organism: Marmota monax (woodchuck)
Lineage: Eukaryota; Metazoa; Chordata; Mammalia; Rodentia; Sciuridae
Exons: 3
Source: RefSeq, a predicted model, not a curated record